CCUGGUGCAGAACCAUUCAAACCCCAUAAUUUUUCUUUCAAGAGUUCAAAAAACCAGGUUAAUGGUGACAUGAUGUACAGCUUCAAAGAUGGAGACACCAAAACCCCAGCAGCCUUCCUCAAUGAGAUUACACCUAUAUUGGGGAAUGUUCUGAUAUAUAUUCGUCUAGUUUUUAAGAAUUUGACCAGAGUACCUAGUGAGGCUGCUGUUCUCAAUGCUGCGAAUUCUCUGCUGGAUGCAAAGAUCAGAAGAGCACGAGAUCUUGUAACACAAAAACUGAGUGAUCCUGUGAGCAUUCAGGAUGUCAAAU
Hemibagrus wyckioides is the source of this 310-nucleotide long non-coding RNA. RefSeq lists it as uncharacterized. Lineage: Eukaryota; Metazoa; Chordata; Actinopteri; Siluriformes; Bagridae. The record is from RefSeq and is a predicted model, not a curated record. The transcript is spliced from 3 exons.